RNA transcript from Zea mays, 1145 nucleotides. RefSeq lists it as uncharacterized. NCBI's taxonomy places the organism in Eukaryota, Viridiplantae, Streptophyta, Magnoliopsida, Poales, Poaceae. The record is from RefSeq and is a predicted model, not a curated record. The transcript has 2 exons.
CACCCCUCCACUUUUUCUAGCCGCCACUCUCUUCUUCCUCCUCUCCCACACGCACAACUCUCUCCUCCUUGCUCCAUGGCGCUGCAGCAAGGUCCUUCUUCCCCACAUCCGGUCGUCGUCCCCCUGGUCCUGCUCGGCGAUGCCCUUCUCCCCUAGGCCGGUGAGCAGGUCUUCUUCCUCCCUGCUUCACGGCAGCAAGCAUGGACGCCGCUGCUUUUUUUUUUUCCUCUCGCUCUGCUCGCUCGGCCGCCAGCAGCCAUGGCCGACCUCCACUUCCCAUGGACGGCGCCCAGAUUUUCGCGCACUCAGCCAUGGCGCCCAAGCCUGCGCAGCGCCCCUCUCCGAGCUCGCUCCUUCGCUGCUCCUUCCCAUGACCAGCGCCCCUGUUUUCCCAGCCGUGCAGCUCCCUUUUCGACUUCCAUGGUCGCCCAGCUCCCUGUCCACGGCGCCCAGGAAUUCCAACAGCAGCUCAUCCCCUCCCAGCGCCCCCUUCUGCUCCAUGGCUGCAAGAAGCCUCUCCAUGGCUGACGCACAGGUGGCCAGCAGCUCUGCUCGCCCCUUGUACCUUGAGCAGCAAGAAGCAGCGCCCCUAUCUCCUUUUCCCCGCAGCCCCACCAAAUCGACGCGCCGUAGGUGCUCGACAAAAUGCGCAGCUCCAUUUCUCCAUGGCCGCGAGCUUUUCCUUGCUGCGACUGCCUCCCAAGGACAGCGCGUAGCAGCCUCCCCGUGGCCAUGGUCUGCAACAAGAUGUCGUGCGCUACAUGUUCGAUGUUUUGCGCAGCAGCUCCGACGUCUCCACGCGGCUCGCUGCUUUGUGCUGCGCAGCAAACAGCCGUCGACGCCCGCCGUGUGUUCGCUGUUUUGCGCAGCCCCAAUAUCGUCGUCAUUCACCCCGGUGAGACCACGACAAUUCUUGUUUAAUUUCACAUCGACAUUAUUCUCCGGUGAUUAAUUGUGUAUGUGUUGCUUGUUUUGUUUUGUGGAGGAGACGAACCCCGUGUUUUGCGGGGAGAAGGCAAGUCGUUCGACGCUCGUUGACGUUCGAAGCGAUGCACAAAUCGGAAUCACCGUAGUUCUUGCAAACGCCGAUUGGGUUUGUUUAUGGACCGAGAGAUGCCGAUCGAGCAACUGAUGUGGUGCCAACC